UGUGUGAGAACAGUAUAGUAUUUAGGCCAUCAAAUCCCACUGCUAGGCUACGGCUAUUGAAGUGGGGCAAAAUGGGGUACAACGGUAGCUUCAACAGUAAAGUUUAUUCAGAAAAUAAUUAUUGGAACGGCCUCAUUGUCCAUUGAUGUUGUUCCGACCAAAGUUGGGCCAAACACAGGGCACCGUAUGACACUAUUUCAUAUUGGGGUAGAACAAUGGUGUGUGUGCACACUGUGUUGAAUCUAUUGAGUUUGAGCAGCUUUGUAUGAAGGCAGCCCGAGCAGAUUUUUAUGGUACUAAAAUUGGUCAUUUGAGGUUAGACGUUGAUUGACUACAUGGGAUAUUGAUAGUGAAUGGCAUCAAUCCCGAUGCCUUCCUUGUGCACAUAGAUCUAGUUGUACCUGCUAAAGAUGAAUGUGUGGGAGAGGCGUCAAGACUGAAUGAGGAUUCAUUACCUCACCCGAUCCUAGGGAUAGCAUUCCUCUUUUGUGUGAGAUAGUUUCACCCCAGUCAUGGGUGAAGAAUGUAUAUAGAAGGUGGAAUAAUGUGGGAAAGCAUAAGCGUUUUCCUAGUAGUGCUGUUGUUUCCCCUUUUCAGCCCCCUAAUGACGCUGGGAAGGCGGCUAAGGAAUUUGCCAUUGCAGCAGCUCACACCAAUGAGUUAGUAUGGCUUUUCACGUGGUUAUGUAAGGUAUGUUUCAUUCAACCUUCAACAUUUAUUGGUUACUCGUGCUUUUGCAUAUUGUCACAGGUGGUAGGUGGGCCGUCAGCGUGGGUAACAUUUGCUCAAAAAGACUGAAUGAUGGCUGAAGAUUUGCAAUUGGUGCAUAAUUUCUUGCACAAGGAGAUUCGAAAGGAAGUAUAUGUGCUUAAGAAUGAUAAUGUUUCACUAAGUGAAGCAAACCUCCUCCCCCUUUUUAAGAUGAAUGGUUGGUUGUCUGAUGAGGUUAUAGAUGCAUAUGGCAGCCUAUUGAAGACACAGAGGCAGAAUUCUAUAAAAUUUUAGUAUGUGCUUGUAGUGGCUCAAGUGAAAUACCCUUUUUUGCAUUUCCAACAUGAUUGUACUACUUUUAUGAUUAGAUUCACCAACCUUUUAGGGUCGGAUACAUGAUUAGUAACAAUACCUGCGUAAG
This is a long non-coding RNA of Nelumbo nucifera (sacred lotus), 1132 nucleotides long. RefSeq lists it as uncharacterized. NCBI's taxonomy places the organism in Eukaryota, Viridiplantae, Streptophyta, Magnoliopsida, Proteales, Nelumbonaceae. The record is from RefSeq and is a predicted model, not a curated record.